GAUGAACGCUGGCGGCGUGCCUAAUACAUGCAAGUAGAACGCUGAGGUAGGAGCUUGCUCUCCUGGAUGAUUUGCGAACGGGUGAGUAACGCGUAUGGAACCUGUCUCUUAGCGGGGGGUAACUCUUGGGAACGCUAGCUAUUACAGCAUAAUAUUAGAUGAUGCAUGAUAUUUACUAAAAAGGUGCAAUUGUACUAUUACCUGAUGGUCCUUCGUUGGAUUAUUUAGUUGGUGGGGUGACGGCUCAACAAGGCGACGAUACAUAGUCGACCUGAGAGGGGGAUCGGCCCAACUGGGACUGGGACACGGGCCAGACUCCUACGGGAGGCAGCAGGAGGGAAUCUUCGACAAUGGACGAAAGUCUGACCGAGCAAAGCCGGGGGGGUGAAGAAGGUUUUCGGAUCGUAAAGCUCUGUUGUAAGAGAAGAACGAGUGGGGGAGUUGAAAGUGCACACUGUGACGGUAUCUUACCAGAAAGCGACGGCUAACUACGUG
Molecule: ribosomal RNA, 495 nt
Filed under: uncultured bacterium
Lineage: Bacteria
Description: partial 16S ribosomal RNA
Rfam family: Bacterial small subunit ribosomal RNA
Source: RNAcentral